AGUGAACGCUGGCGGUAGGCCUAACACAUGCAAGUCGAACGGCAGCACAGUAAGAGCUUGCUCUUACGGGUGGCGAGUGGCGGACGGGUGAGGAAUACAUCGGAAUCUACUUUUUCGUGGGGGAUAACGUAGGGAAACUUACGCUAAUACCGCAUACGACCUACGGGUGAAAGCAGGGGAUCUUCGGACCUUGCGCGAUUGAAUGAGCCGAUGUCGGAUUAGCUAGUUGGCGGGGUAAAGGCCCACCAAGGCGACGAUCCGUAGCUGGUCUGAGAGGAUGGUCAGCCACACUGGAACUGAGACAGGUGCCGGACUCCUACGGGAGGCAGCAGUGGGGAAUAUUGGACAAUGGGCGCAAGCCUUAUCCAGCCAUACCGCGUGGGUGAAGAAGGCCUUCGGGUUGUAAAGCCCUUUUGUUGGGAAAGAAAAGCAGCAGGUUAAUACCCCGCUGUUCUGACGGUACCCAAAGAAUAAGCACCGGCUAACUUCGUG
This 492-nucleotide ribosomal RNA is filed under the name uncultured bacterium. RNAcentral's name for it is "partial 16S ribosomal RNA". It matches the Rfam family "Bacterial small subunit ribosomal RNA", at positions 29 to 507 of the family's 1533-position model. The record is from RNAcentral.